RNAcentral lists this ribosomal RNA (449 nucleotides) under uncultured bacterium. RNAcentral describes it as "bacterial SSU rRNA". It matches the Rfam family "Bacterial small subunit ribosomal RNA", at positions 355 to 796 of the family's 1533-position model. The record is from RNAcentral.
UCGAGAAUCAUUCGCAAUGGGCGAAAGCCUGACGAUGCGACGCCGUGUGGACGAUGAAGGCCUUAGGGUUGUAAAGUCCUUUCGCCUGGGAACAAGAGAGGUCGGCUAAUAACCGGCCAAUUUGAGGGUACCAGGUAAAGAAGCACCGGCUAACUCCGUGCCAGCAGCUGCGGUAAUACGGAGGGUGCAAGCAUUAAUCGGAUUUAUUGGGCGUAAAGGGCGCGUAGGCGGACAAGAAAGUCAGAUGUGAAAUACCGGGGCUCACCCCCGGAACGGCAUUUGAAACUUCUUAUCUAGAGGGUAGGCGGAGAAAACGGAAUUCCACGUGUAGCGGUGAAAUGCGUAGAUAUGUGGAAGAACACCGGUGGCGAAGGCGGUUUUCUAGCUUAUUCCUGACGCUGAGGCGCGAAAGCAAGGGGAGCAAACAGGAUUAGAUACCCCGGUAGUCC